Molecule: ribosomal RNA, 433 nt
Filed under: uncultured bacterium
Lineage: Bacteria
Description: partial 16S ribosomal RNA
Rfam family: Bacterial small subunit ribosomal RNA
Source: RNAcentral
AACGAACGCUGGCGGCAUGCCUAACACAUGCAAGUCGAACGAGACCUUCGGGUCUAGUGGCGCACGGGUGCGUAACGCGUGGGAACCUGCCCUUAGGUUCGGAAUAACUCCCCGAAAGGGGUUCUAAUACCGGAUAAUGUCUUCGGACCAAGGAUUUAUCGCCUUUGGAUGGGCCCGCGUUGGAUUAGCUAGUUGGUAGGGUAAAAGCCUACCAAGGCGACGAUCCAUAGCUGGUCUGAGAGGAUGAUCAGCCACACUGGGACUGAGACACGGCCCAGACUCCUACGGGAGGCAGCAGUGGGGAAUAUUGGACAAUGGGCGAAAGCCUGAUCCAGCAAUGCCGCGUGAGUGAUGAAGGCCUUAGGGUUGUAAAGCUCUUUUACCCGGGAUGAUAAUGACAGUACCAGGAGAAUAAGCUCCGGCUAACUCCGUG